This 249-nucleotide ribosomal RNA is filed under the name uncultured bacterium. Its description in RNAcentral is "partial 16S ribosomal RNA". It matches the Rfam family "Bacterial small subunit ribosomal RNA", at positions 525 to 773 of the family's 1533-position model. The record is from RNAcentral.
ACGUAGGAGGCGAGCGUUAUCCGGAUUUACUGGGUGUAAAGCGCAUGCAGGCGGCGCGAUAAGUUGGGUGUGAAAGCUCCUGGCCUAACCGGGAGAGGUCGCUCAAGACUGUUGUGCUCGAGCGUGGUAGAGGAAGGCGGAAUUCCGGGUGUAGUGGUGAAAUGCGUAGAGAUCCGGAGGAACACCAGUGGCGAAAGCGGCCUUCUGGACCAUGACUGACGCUCAGAUGCGAAAGCCAGGGUAGCAAAC